This 873-nucleotide ribosomal RNA is filed under the name uncultured bacterium. RNAcentral describes it as "bacterial SSU rRNA". It matches the Rfam family "Bacterial small subunit ribosomal RNA", at positions 28 to 896 of the family's 1533-position model. The record is from RNAcentral.
AACGAACGCUGGCGGCGUGCUUAACACAUGCAAGUCGAACGAGAAAGCCCUUCGGGGUGAGUAGAGUGGCGCACGGGUGAGUAAUGCAUAGGAACGUACCUUCGGGUGGGGAAUAACCACGGGAAACCGUGGCUAAUACCGCAUAACCUUGUAAGAGCAAAGGUGGCCUCUGAUUCAAGCUACCGCCUGAAGAGCGGCCUAUGUCCCAUUAGCUUGUUGGUAGGGUAAUGGCCUACCAAGGCGACGAUGGGUAGCUGGUCUGAGAGGACGAUCAGCCACACUGGAACUGAGACACGGUCCAGACUCCUACGGGAGGCAGCAGUGGGGAAUCUUGCACAAUGGGCGCAAGCCUGAUGCAGCAACGCCGCGUGGGUGAAGAAGGCUCUUGGGUCGUAAAGCCCUUUCGACAGGGAAGAAGGGUCUGUAGGUAAAUAAUCUGCGGAUUUGACGGUACCUGAAGAGGAAGCACCGGCUAACUCCGUGCCAGCAGCCGCGGUAAUACGGAGGGUGCAAGCGUUGUUCGGAAUUACUGGGCGUAAAGCGCACGUAGGCGGGCUCGCAAGCCAGCUGUGAAAGCCCAGGGCUCAACCCUGGAAUUGCAGUUGGAACUGCGGAUCUUGAAUGUCAGAGAGGGUGGGGGAAUUCCUGGUGUAGAAGUGAAAUUCGUAGAUAUCAGGAGGAACACCGGAGGCGAANGCGCCUACCUGGCUGAACAUUGACGCUGANGUGCGAAAGCGUGGGUAGCAAACAGGAUUAGAUACCCUGGUAGUCCACGCUGUAAACGAUGGAUACUANGCGUUCGGAGUGUUAACCCUCUGAGUGCCGCAGCUCACGCAUUAAGUAUCCCGCCUGGGGAGUACGGUCGCAAGGCUA